UCCGGCUUAUCGCCGGCAGUUCCUUUAGAGUGCCCAGCAUAACCUGAUGGUAACUAAAAGCGAGGGUUGCGCUCGUUGCGGGACUUAACCCAACAUCUCACGACACGAGCUGACGACAGCCAUGCAACACCUGUGUUCGGCCCAGCCGAACUGAAGGGAUCCAUCUCUGGUUCCCAAAACCGACAUGUCAAGGGUUGGUAAGGUUUUUCGCGUUGCAUCGAAUUAAACCGCAUGCUCCACCGCUUGUGCGGGUCCCCGUCAAUUCCUUUGAGUUUUAACCUUGCGGCCGUACUCCCCAGGCGGAGUGCUUAUCGCGUUAGCUUCGACACCGAAACAUAAAGUCCCAACAUCUAGCACUCAUCGUUUACAGCGUGGACUAC
RNAcentral lists this unclassified non-coding RNA (380 nucleotides) under uncultured Rickettsiaceae bacterium. RNAcentral's name for it is "contains 16S-23S intergenic spacer region". The record is from RNAcentral. Lineage: Bacteria; Pseudomonadati; Pseudomonadota; Alphaproteobacteria; Rickettsiales; Rickettsiaceae.